GAUGAACGCUGGCGGCGUGCCUAAUACAUGCAAGUCGAGCGAACAGACGAGGAGCUUGCUCCUCGGACGUUAGCGGCGGACGGGUGAGUAACACGUGGAUAACCUACCUAUAAGACUGGGAUAACUUCGGGAAACGGGAGCUAAUACCGGAUAAUAUAUUGAACCGCAUGGUUCAAUAGUGAAAGACGGUUGUGCUGUCACUUAUAGAUGGAUCCGCGCCGCAUUAGCUAGUUGGUAAGGUAACGGCUUACCAAGGCGACGAGGCGUAGCCGACCUGAGAGGGUGAUCGGCCACACUGGAACUGAGACACGGUCCAGACUCCUACGAGAGGCAGCAGUAGGGAAUCUUCGGCAAUGGGCGAAAGCCUGACGGAGCAACGCCGCGUGGGUGAUGAAGGUCUUCGGAUCGUAAAACUCUGUUAUUAGGGAAGAACAAAUGUGUAAGUAACUAUGCACGUCUUGACGGUACCUAAUCAGAAAGCCACGGCUAACUACGUG
This 497-nucleotide ribosomal RNA is filed under the name uncultured bacterium. Its description in RNAcentral is "partial 16S ribosomal RNA". It matches the Rfam family "Bacterial small subunit ribosomal RNA", at positions 28 to 507 of the family's 1533-position model. The record is from RNAcentral.